RNAcentral lists this ribosomal RNA (391 nucleotides) under uncultured bacterium. RNAcentral describes it as "bacterial SSU rRNA". It matches the Rfam family "Bacterial small subunit ribosomal RNA", at positions 29 to 410 of the family's 1533-position model. The record is from RNAcentral.
AACGAACGCUGGCGGCGCGCCUAAUACAUGCAAGUCGAGCGAGAAGACGUAGCAAUACGUUUGUAAAGCGGCGAACGGGUGAGGAAUACAUGGGUAACCUACCCUCGAGUGGGGAAUAACUAGCCGAAAGGUUAGCUAAUACCGCGUACGCUUCUUGGACUUCGGUUCAGGGAGGAAAGCGAUACCGUGGGUAUCGCGCUCUUGGAUGGGCUCAUGUCCUAUCAGCUUGUUGGNGAGGUAACGGCUCACCAAGGCUUCGACGGGUAGCUGGUCUGAGAGGACGAUCAGCCACACUGGCACUGCGACACGGGCCAGACUCCUACGGGAGGCAGCAGUAAGGAAUAUUGCGCAAUGGGCGAAAGCCUGACGCAGCGACGCCGCGUGGGGGAGU